GAUAAACGCUGGCGGCGUGCAUGAGACAUGCAAGUCGAACGAACUUCUCGGGCUUGCCCGAGAAGUUAGUGGCGGACGGCUGAGUAACGCGUAGGUGACCUGCCCCAAAGUGGGGAAUAACUGCCCGAAAGGGUGGCUAACACCGCAUGUGAUCGUUCAUUCAUUUGUUCGAUCAAAGCAGUAAUGCGCUUUGGGAGGGGCCUGCGUCCGAUUAGCUCGUUGGUGGGGUAAUGGCUCACCAAGGCGACGAUCGGUAGGUGGUCUGAGAGGACGAUCACCCAGACGGGGACUGAGACACGGCCCAGACUCCUACGGGAGGCAGCAGUCGGGAAUUUUGCUCAAUGGACGAAAGUCUGAAGCAGCAACGCCGCGUGAGGGAUGAAGGCCUUCGGGUUGUAAACCUCUUUUAUCAGGGACGAUGAUGACGGUACCUGAUGAAUAAGCCACGGCUAACUACGUGCCAGCAGCCGCCGUAA
Molecule: ribosomal RNA, 476 nt
Filed under: uncultured bacterium
Lineage: Bacteria
Description: partial 16S ribosomal RNA
Rfam family: Bacterial small subunit ribosomal RNA
Source: RNAcentral